UAUGGAAUAGCUGUUAGAAAUGACAGGUAAUACCGUAUACUCCCUACGGGGGAAAGAUUUAUCGCUAUUAGAUGAGCCUGCGUUGGAUUAGCUUGUUGGUAGGGUAAUGGCCUACCAAGGCUACGAUCCAUAGCUGGUCUGAGAGGAUGAUCAGCCACACUGGAACUGAGAUACGGUCCAGACUCCUACGGGAGGCAGCAGUGGGGAAUAUUGGACAAUGGGCGAAAGCCUGAUCCAGCCAUGCCGCAUGAGUGAAGAAGGCCUUAGGGUUGUAAAACUCUUUUAGUGGGGAAGAUAAUGACGGUACCCACAGAAGAAGUCCCGGCAAACUCCGUGCCAGCAGCCGCGGUAAUACGGAGGGGGCAAGCGUUGUUCGGAAUUAUUGGGCGUAAAGAGCACGUAGGCGGUUUGGUUAGUUAAGAGUUAAAUACCAAGGCUCAACCUUGGGGCUGCUUUUAAUACUGCCAGGCUAGAGAUCGAA
Molecule: ribosomal RNA, 481 nt
Filed under: uncultured Anaplasmataceae bacterium
Lineage: Bacteria; Pseudomonadati; Pseudomonadota; Alphaproteobacteria; Rickettsiales; Anaplasmataceae
Description: bacterial SSU rRNA
Rfam family: Bacterial small subunit ribosomal RNA
Source: RNAcentral